RNAcentral lists this transfer RNA (89 nucleotides) under Violaceomyces palustris. Its description in RNAcentral is "tRNA-Ala". It matches the Rfam family "tRNA". Rfam says of the family: Transfer RNA (tRNA) molecules are approximately 80 nucleotides in length. Their secondary structure includes four short double-helical elements and three loops (D, anti-codon, and T loops). Further hydrogen bonds mediate the characteristic L-shaped molecular structure. tRNAs have two regions of fundamental functional importance: the anti-codon, which is responsible for specific mRNA codon recognition, and the 3' end, to which the tRNAs corresponding amino acid is attached (by aminoacyl-tRNA synthetases). tRNAs cope with the degeneracy of the genetic code in two manners: having more than one tRNA (with a specific anti-codon) for a particular amino acid; and 'wobble' base-pairing, i.e. permitting non-standard base-pairing at the 3rd anti-codon position. The record is from RNAcentral. Lineage: Eukaryota; Fungi; Basidiomycota; Ustilaginomycetes; Violaceomycetales; Violaceomycetaceae.
GGGGAUUUAGCUCAGUUGGUAGAGCGUUCGCUUAGCAUCUUCAAAGACCUCAAUGCGAAAGGUCGCGUGUUCGACUCAUGCAGUCUCCA